Molecule: ribosomal RNA, 400 nt
Filed under: uncultured bacterium
Lineage: Bacteria
Description: bacterial SSU rRNA
Rfam family: Bacterial small subunit ribosomal RNA
Source: RNAcentral
UGAGGAAUAUUGGACAAUGGGCGAAAGCCUGAUCCAGCAAUACCGCGUGAGUGAAGAAGGCCUUAGGGUUGUAAAGCUCUUUCAGUAGGGAAAAUAAUGAUGGUACCUACAAAAGAAGUUCCGGCUAACUCCGUGCCAGCAGCCGCGGUAAUACGGAGGGAACUAGCGUUGUUCGGAUUUACUGGGCGUAAAGAGCGCGUAGGCGGAUUAUUAAGUUGGAAGUGAAAGCCCAGGGCUUAACCCUGGAACUGCUUCCAAAACUGGUAAUCUAGAGUAUGGGAGGGGACAGUGGAAUUCCUAGUGUAGAGGUGAAAUUCUUAGAUAUUAGGAGGAACACCGGUGGCGAAAGCGACUGUCUGGAACAUUACUGACGCUGAGGUGCGAAAGCGUGGGGAGCAAA